UACAGAGGGUGCGAGCGUUAAUCGGAAUUACUGGGCGUAAAGCGUGCGUAGACGGUUGUCUAAGUCGGAUGUGAAAGCCCCGGGCUCAACCUGGGAAUUGCAUUCGAGACUGAACAGCUAGGGUGCGGAAGAGGGAAGCGGAAUUUCCGGUGUAGCAGUGAGAUGCGUAGAUAUCGGAAGGAACAUCAGUGGCGAAAGCGGCUUCCUGGUCCAGCACCGACGUUCAGGCACGAAAGCUAGGGGAGCAAACAGG
RNAcentral lists this ribosomal RNA (253 nucleotides) under uncultured bacterium. Its description in RNAcentral is "partial 16S ribosomal RNA". It matches the Rfam family "Bacterial small subunit ribosomal RNA", at positions 524 to 776 of the family's 1533-position model. The record is from RNAcentral.